RNAcentral lists this ribosomal RNA (403 nucleotides) under Fusobacteriota bacterium. RNAcentral describes it as "Fusobacteria bacterium partial 16S ribosomal RNA". It matches the Rfam family "Bacterial small subunit ribosomal RNA", at positions 355 to 776 of the family's 1533-position model. Lineage: Bacteria; Fusobacteriati; Fusobacteriota. The record is from RNAcentral.
UGGGGAAUAUUGCACAAUGGGGGAAACCCUGAUGCAGCGACGCCGCGUGAGCGAAGAAGGUUUUCGAAUCGUAAAGCUCUGUCCUAUGGGAAGAUAAUGACGGUACCAUAGGAGGAAGCCCCGGCUAACUACGUGCCAGCAGCCGCGGUAAUACGUAGGGGGCAAGCGUUGUCCGGAAUCACUGGGCGUAAAGGGUUCGCAGGCGGAAAUGCAAGCCAGUUGUGAAAGGCAGAGGCUCAACCUCUGUAAGCAAUUGAAACUGUAUUUCUUGAGAUGUGGAGAGGCAAGUGGAAUUCCUAGUGUAGCGGUGAAAUGCGUAGAUAUUAGGAAGAAUACCGGUGGCGAAGGCGACUUGCUGGACACAAACUGACGCUGAGGAACGAAAGCGUGGGUAGCAAACAGG